UCGUGCUCGACAUCAGCUCUCACAAACAGAUACACACACAAACACAAUCACGUACAUAAAACAACCCCCCCCCAACGCAGUCGUUUCCCCACGAUAGCCGUUUUUUUUGACGACUCUCAUCUUCAACGUCGUUUUCCUCUCCCUUCCCUCCUUCCCCCUCUCCCUUUUUCGUUUACUUCAUUCUUUCACCACCGCUUCCACCGCUGGCGCUGCGUCCGUGUGUCCGUGUGUCUUGAACAAAAACUGCAUCUUUCUCUUUAAAAACGCCAUCGUCAUUACCGAAGGCGCCACCACCGAAUUGCACACCGAGGUCUUUUCGACGCAACUCGCGAGUCCGUGCGGGCUAAUGUGUGUCUGAACGGUACACUGUACACCCACACCCGACCACACAACCAGGCACAGAUACACAGGGGUAUAUAAAAAAGUAUGUGAUGUUGCUUGUGCGUGCGGGUGCCUGGUGACUGUCUUGGCUCCACAAUCGGCUUUUGCUUCUUUAGUCCCUCCUUCUCAUUCCCCGUGUAGCGCCGCGUGUGUGUGUGUGAGCGCGGUGCGGGCGCGCUGAUGCGAGGGCCCUUGGUAUAUUUGCUUGCGGUUUUUUUUUUGUGUGCUUCUCUCUUCCUCUUUCACAUCUGUACCGGCCGACUUUGUGUGCGUCUGUGCGCGUGCCGCUCUCGUUCUCUCUUGUUAUUGAUUUGAUCUCCGUGGUGCUUACUCUGGCCACCGUUCUAUCCCUCUCUCCCUUCCUCAUUUUCACGCUCUCUCUUUCUCUCUUCAUCGUAGCAUUUCUCGGCGUUGCGUCGUCUCUCCCCUGCUUCUCGUUCUCACUACCAUCGACUGGGUGUCUUGUGUACACUCGGCCAAACCACACAGGGGGAGGAGGCCAAACUCACUGCUAUCGCGUUUUGCAUAAUACAUCUAUCUUUAUAUGCAUCGAGCCCCUUUUUUUUUCUUGUUCGGUUCGCCUUCUCCUCCUCCCGAUAUUUCACUAGCGCCUGACCGCGCGUGUGACAGAGAGCUUUAAGCGCACCGCUUCUUUCCCUCGUUCUCGUUCCUCCAGCCAACCUGUACGCCAUCCUCUCACCAGCCUUCCGUGCUUCACGAUCUGUGUCUUCCUGUCUGCCUCCGGGUUUCUGGCGAGCUGGACUUUCCCUUCGGAAAGGUGGCGCAGCUGGCGAUAACAUGAUUCGCGGUGCUUCCAUGAUCCUGCGGGCGGCCCCCGCCUCCACGCACUGUCGCCGAAGCUCGUCUCUGCCCGGCAACGCGUCUCUCAGAGACCAUGAUCCUGAGGUGCACCAGCUUAUUCACAGAGAGAUGCGCCGGCAGAUAGAAGGGCUAGAGCUGAUUGCGUCGGAGAACUUUACCUCCCGCGCGGUGCUUGACUGCCUCGGGUCCGUCCUCACGAACAAGUACGCAGAGGGUCUGCCUGGGAACCGCUACUACGGCGGCACGGAGGUCGUCGACGAGCUCGAGAAACUAUGCGUGCGGCGCGCACUCGCAGCAUUCUGCUUGGAUGCGGCCGUAUGGGGCGUCAGCGUGCAGCCGUACAGCGGCUCACCUGCCAACCUGGCCGUCUACACCGCCCUGUUGCGCCCGCAUGACCGCAUGAUGGGUCUCUCACUGCAGGCGGGCGGCCACCUCACACACGGCUUCUACACCGCAACGAAGCGUCUCUCGGCCUCCUCGAUCUUCUUCGAGAGCCUCCCGUACUCCAUCACGCCGAAGGGCCUCGUCGACUACGAUCAGCUAGCGUACCUGGCGGAUAUCUACAAACCACGGCUUAUCAUUGCCGGCGGCUCCGCCUACCCGCGCGACUGGGACUACAAGCGCUACCGCCAAAUCUGCGACAGCGUUGGUGCCUACUUCAUGGUGGACAUGUCCCACUUUUCUGGCCUGGUUGCCGCCCGGGAGCACAACGACCCGUUUGAGUACGCCGAUGUAGUGACCACCACCACCCACAAGACGCUGCGCGGGCCUCGGUCUGGCAUGAUCUUCUUCAAGAAGUCGAUAAAGCAGGGCAAGGAGAACGUGCACCUGGAGGAUUCUAUCAGCAGCGCCGUCUUCCCCGCGCUGCAGGGUGGCCCACACCUACACCAGAUCGCCGGCAUCGCCACGCAGCUGAAGGAGGUGGCAUCGCCGGAGUGGCGCACCUACAUAAAGCAGGUGAAGGCGAACGCCAAGGCCCUGGCCGCCACCCUCACGGAGGGUGGGGAGACGCUCGUCAGCGACGGCACCGACAACCACCUUCUUCUGUGGAACCUCCGCCCGCACGGCCUCACAGGCUCCAAGUUGGAGAAGCUGCUCGACAUGGUCAACAUCACGGUGAACAAGAACACCAUCUUUGGCGACAAAAGCGCUCAGGCGCCGUACGGCAUACGUCUUGGCACGCCAGCACUCACCACCCGCGCCCUCCAGGAGGAGGACUUCAGGCGGGUCGGCCAGUUCCUCAUUCGCUCGGUUCAACUCUCCAAGGAGGUGCAGAAGUCCGCCGGCUCUACGAAGCUCGCCGACUUCGUGAAGGCCGCCGAGACCUCGAAGGCGUUGCAGGAGAUGGCCGAGGAGGUGAAGGCGUAUGCGCGUCAGUUCCCGUACCCCGGCCUGGAGAGCGCCUAUCCCAUUCAGUAGCGCGCCUCGAGCACGGAGGCGGCGUUCGAGCUGCGAGAGGGAAGGACGAUGCACGAAGAGACUCCAGUAAGAAGGCUUGAUGGCAGGUGUGCGCGUGUGGGGGAGGCGCUGCAUGCGUGUGCCGCGCGACAGAGGCUUUGUGUGACUGUGCGUCUCUUCUGUGUGUGGCGGGAAGCGCGGCCAGUAGGGCCAAGGCUCGCCCUCGAGCCGAGCUACGGUGUACAGUUCAGCUACAGGGAGUCGAACGCCCAACGGCCGACAGAGACGGCAGUGCAAGGAAAGCGAAGGGGAGGAGGAGUAGGAAGGGGUGUACGCGCGUGCGGAUGGCGUUUCGAGCGAGAGUGUUGCGUUCCCCUCCCCACCCCUCUUUUCCCACCAGCACGCCUUUCUAGGACGUCCCGCACUGCUUCUUCCGAAUACUUCUCCUGCUUCGAGGCGCCCGUGUGCGUCCGUUGUACGUGCACGGGGCCGCACCUGGGCGCUGCGGGCGAGGGGAAGGGGCUGGGACGUAAAGCACGAGGGUGCCUGCUGAUGCGCCGGCGCUCACCCCCCACCCGUCCUGUCUGCCCCUCCCUCUCUCAUCCGCUCGACCGAGCACGGCAGCGCUGGCGCCGCUUUGCUCUUUGCGCCCCGCCGUCCGGUGCUGCCAGCCCCACCACUUAUCGCAUUCAUCGCUUUCGUGUGUUUCACCUCUCCUCCUCCCCCCUCGUCCUGCAG
RNAcentral lists this unclassified non-coding RNA (3339 nucleotides) under Leishmania donovani. RNAcentral describes it as "gene:LdHU3.28.3420(CDS-product:serine_hydroxymeth yltransferase_(SHMT-L))". The record is from RNAcentral. Lineage: Eukaryota; Euglenozoa; Kinetoplastea; Trypanosomatida; Trypanosomatidae.